AUUGAACGCUGGCGGCAGGCCUAACACAUGCAAGUCGAGCGGAUGAAGGGAGCUUGCUCCUGGAUUCAGCGGCGGACGGGUGAGUAAUGCCUAGGAAUCUGCCUGGUAGUGGGGGAUAACGUCCGGAAACGGGCGCUAAUACCGCAUACGUCCUGAGGGAGAAAGUGGGGGAUCUUCGGACCUCACGCUAUCAGAUGAGCCUAGGUCGGAUUAGCUAGUUGGUGGGGUAAAGGCCUACCAAGGCGACGAUCCGUAACUGGUCUGAGAGGAUGAUCAGUCACGCUGGAACUGAGACACGGUCCAGACUCCUACGGGAGGCAGCAGUGGGGAAUAUUGGACAAUGGGCGAAAGCCUGAUCCAGCCAUGCCGCGUGUGUGAAGAAGGUCUUCGGAUUGUAAAGCACUUUAAGUUGGGAGGAAGGGCAGUAAGUUAAUACCUUGCUGUUUUGACGUUACCAACAGAAUAGGCACCGGCUAACUUCGUG
RNAcentral lists this ribosomal RNA (484 nucleotides) under uncultured bacterium. Its description in RNAcentral is "partial 16S ribosomal RNA". It matches the Rfam family "Bacterial small subunit ribosomal RNA", at positions 30 to 507 of the family's 1533-position model. The record is from RNAcentral.